GAGCUUGCUCUAGGGAAUUAGUGGCGAACGGGUGAGAAACACGUGAGUAACCUGCCCUUGACUCUGGGAUAACCUCCGGAAACGGAAGCUAAUACCGGAUACGACGUACGGAGGCAUCUCCUGUACGUGGAAAGAACUUCGGUCAAGGAUGGACUCGCGGCCUAUCAGGUAGUUGGUGAGGUAACGGCUCACCAAGCCUACGACGGGUAGCCGGCCUGAGAGGGUGACCGGCCACACUGGGACUGAGACACGGCCCAGACUCCUACGGGAGGCAGCAGUGGGGAAUAUUGCACAAUGGGCGCAAGCCUGAUGCAGCAACGCCGCGUGAGGGACGACGGCCUUCGGGUUGUAAACCUCUUUUAGUAGGGAAGAAGCGAAAGUGACGGUACCUGCAGAAAAAGCACCGGCUAACUACGUGCCAGCAGCCGCGGGAAUACGUAGGGUGCGAGCGUUGUCCGGAAUUAUUGGGCGUAAAGAGCUCGUAGGCGGUCUGUCGCGUCUGCUGUGAAAACCCGAGGCUCAACCUCGGGCCUGCAGUGGGUACGGGCAGACUAGAGUGCGGUAGGGGAGAAUGGAAUUCCUGGUGUAGCGGUGGAAUGCGCAGAUAUCAGGAGGAACACCGAUGGCGAAGGCAGUUCUCUGGGCCGUAACUGACGCUGAGGAGCGAAAGCGUGGGGAGCGAACAGGAUUAGAUACCCUGGUAGUCCACGCCGUAAACGUUGGGCGCUAGAUGUGGGGACCAUUCCACGGUUUCCGUGUCGCAGCUAACGCAUUAAGCGCCCCGCCUGGGGGAGUACGGCCGCAAGGCUAAAACUCAA
RNAcentral lists this ribosomal RNA (818 nucleotides) under Leifsonia sp. BFER98. Its description in RNAcentral is "bacterial SSU rRNA". It matches the Rfam family "Bacterial small subunit ribosomal RNA", at positions 76 to 904 of the family's 1533-position model. The record is from RNAcentral. Lineage: Bacteria; Bacillati; Actinomycetota; Actinomycetes; Micrococcales; Microbacteriaceae.